RNAcentral lists this ribosomal RNA (460 nucleotides) under uncultured bacterium. Its description in RNAcentral is "partial 16S ribosomal RNA". It matches the Rfam family "Bacterial small subunit ribosomal RNA", at positions 338 to 795 of the family's 1533-position model. The record is from RNAcentral.
CCUACGGGAGGCAGCAGUGAGGAAUAUUGGUCAAUGGACGCAAGUCUGAACCAGCCAUGCCACGUGCGGGAAGACGGCUCUAUGAGUUGUAAACUGCUUUUGUACGAGGGUAAACGCACCUACGCGUAUCUGUCUGAGAGUAUCGUAAGAAUAAGGAUCGGCUAACUCCGUGCCAGCAGCCGCGGUAAUACGGAGGAUUCAAGCGUUAUCCGGAUUUAUUGGGUUUAAAGGGUGCGUAGGCGGGCGGUUAAGUUAGAGGUGAAAACCCGAGGCUCAACUUCGGAAUUGCCUCUGAUACUGUUAGGCUAGAGAGUAGUUGCGGUAGGCGGAAUGUAUGGUGUAGCGGUGAAAUGCUUAGAGAUCAUACAGAACACCGAUUGCGAAGGCAGCUUACCAAGCUCCUUCUGACGUUGAGGCACGAAAGCGUGGGUAGCAAACAGGAUUAGAUACCCUUGUAGUC